UAUCGUGCAAGCUGAAGCGGUGCAUUCUCCCUUUCACCUUCUCCCCAUCAGAUGGAUUAUGUUGGUCAAAGUGAAAAUGUAAAUCGAAAACAACAAUCGUGGCUUUGAUUAGAAUUCUAGUGAUUCCGGUCAAUUACAGCAACUUUAAACUCGUUUUGCACUUCCGGGAAAUUGAAUCACGUGGUUCUCAAGAUACCGGGAUUAAGUUCUUCUUUCGAGUGAGUGUCGGUGAAAGCGAACGUGGUGUUGCCUCGAGUUGAGGGUCAUGGACCGAGACCCCUCGAGCUCCGUCCGCGAUCCAAGCUCAACGGACCCCAAGUCGGGCUCCGAUGGAGGGGAUGCAGGGAUCUGCAGGUUCAGGAUCCUGGACGUUCAGAACCUUGGUGAUGGAGGGGACGGCACGGACCUGGAACCCGAUCCUAUAGUGGUGGUGAAGGUGGAACCUGAACCUGCAGGUGGUUCUCCACCACCAGGUGAAAUGGAUCCAGUGGAAGCGGAAUAUUUCCAUGGAAACACUCUUCCAACUUCAAAGAGUGUACAUGUGAAGGAAGAGCUGGGUGAAGAUUCUCCCUCUGAAGAUGAGAAAUCGAGGACGAUCUUCAGGAUGUUUUCCUGCACCAAGAAUGUUCAUACCUCCAAAGAGAGAUCUUUACGACCAGACCAGAAGAGUCACUGUGCGAUUUGCAAGGAUUAUGAACAGAAUUUUAACCAUGACCAGGCAGGUGAGGACUUGCAGCCACAGAAAAGCGCAAUCGGAAGUGCUUUGUAUUUCAACUCCACUGAUUAUGAACUGUUCGCCCGUUGUGAGCAAGCCAUGGCGGUGUGGUGGGAAGAAGAGCAGCUAUGGCGAAUCAGUCAAGGGCACAAGGGGGACUAUGUAAUAAACAGCCUAAGACCUGCGAGAACAUUCUGGAUGGGGGGGGGAGGGGGUAGCAUGAAUGCUGUGGAAAAAACAGUACCGGAAUGAAUGAAUAAAAACUGGUGCAUGCUCUCUCGCUCUGACUCACGUUCUCACCUUCUUCAUCUCGCUGAUUCUCUUCAUAUACUGCUCUCUUCGGCUCUGCCGUGGACCAAGGAGGAGGAGAUCCCCUUCAUGCUGUAUGCCCCCAUCCAGAAUGCGACUCACGCAACAACAUCUUUGCCCUUUCCAAUCGUACUCCUGGCCCACUGACUGCCAAUCGUGAUCCUGUUCCACCGACCGCCAUCGCGCAAUUGGAAAGUGUUCACCUGCUUCUCCUUUGUGAGUAAGAGUGUGGUGUUUGGCGCCUUAGCUGUGUUUGGAUUGUUUAUUUCCUUAACAUUGUAUAAAAGUUUGCAUAUCCCCUCUCCUACACUUGUCUGUCAUGGCACUUGGUUUGUUUUGUUUUCCCCACAUCCCAUCCACCUCUUCUCCAUGUAUCUCUUUUUAUUAAAAAAUAAACUUUUAAAAGGGUAAGAGACCUUUUCCCAUCUUUUGCCUCAUGUGUGCAUUCCAACACUGAAUUUGGCUUUAUUCGGUAUAACCUUGGGGGAAUUGGAAAGUGAAUCCCAGCACAGAGGUAUUUGAACGCAGUUUAGCUUCUCACCUUUCGGUUGUUCGUGGGACAAAGGUCCCGGCGUUGAGGCAUAUCACGUUGGCGAGCCUCCGACGUGACAAUACCAAUGACUUUAAGAAGAUGGCAGGAUUCAGCCAAUCUGACAAGUGUAGGUUCUGCAAGGUUGAAACAGAAAGUACCAGUCACCUUCUUUCAUGAUGUAAAAAUCUCUUGUCAGAACAAUUGUGCACACAAAGGCACAACAAUGUAUUCAGAAUAGUCCAAUGGCCCAUCUGCAAAAACGUCAAUAUACCAGUGUCAGAUAAAUUGUGGAAGCACAAACCAAAAGCGAUCGUAGUUCUCAUGUAUGACCUGACCAUCCCAUUGAGAUUGAAUGUAGAAAACAAAGCAUUGUGACCUGACAUAGUACUUAGUACAAAAAAAAGAAAAGAUGGCAUUGCUAAUCAAGGUGGCGGUGCCCAGGAACAUUGGUCUAGAAAACUGACCAACUAUCAGGAUCUGGAAAAUAAGGUCAAGAGAAACUCCUGAUGCUGAAGAGCAACAACAUUGUACCAGUCAUAAUUCAAGUAAUGGGAAUGAUCAAGAAGCUCAUUGAGAUCUUAAAAUCAUUCUGGGGAAUAUUACUACAAACAAAAGACAUGACAGCAUCUGCAAAGUAAUCCACUGGCACAUCUGUAAACAUUUCAACAUCCCGGCCACAGAACAACCAUGGAUACACACGCCAAAUCCUAACCUUGAAAAUUAACAAAUAAUGCUCACGCAUGACAAGAUGAUCCCGUCAAGUUAGUGUGGACAUUGCAGACAAAGCAUACAUUAAAAAAAAUACUCAUGCAUAAAAAAAACAUCGUAAUCAAUUAUAAGUUCACAUGUCACAGAAAAAAAAAAUAGAAAAUGAGGAAGCAUCUCAAAAUGCAAAGCCUGUCCACUUUGCACUGUAAUUAACCUUGAUGAAAAUGACAGUUAAAAAACACUUUACAUUUUAUUUAUUUGUGUUCUCCAUAUUCUCAUAAUAAAAGUUUCUUGAAGAUUUGAUGCCAAAAUCUCAAUUGGUAAAAAUGUUAUGGCCUGGACAGACACAUUGAAGCUGUGUGUGUGUGUGUGUGUGUGUGUGUGGGUGUGUGUGUGCCCCCCC
This is a long non-coding RNA of Eptatretus burgeri (inshore hagfish), 2667 nucleotides long. The record is from Ensembl. Lineage: Eukaryota; Metazoa; Chordata; Myxini; Myxiniformes; Myxinidae.